RNAcentral lists this long non-coding RNA (448 nucleotides) under Homo sapiens (human). RNAcentral describes it as "non-protein coding lnc-ASH1L-2:1". Lineage: Eukaryota; Metazoa; Chordata; Mammalia; Primates; Hominidae. The record is from RNAcentral.
CUGUAGAUCCCGAAGGGCUCCUCGGGGGCAGCUGCCGGCUGACCUCACCUGCUGGUUCCACCAGUGCGCGCCCACGAAACCGGCAAAAUGUCCCAACUGCAGUAUCUCUCCGCUGGCUGAUAGCUCCCCGGGCAAAAAGAAAACCUUGCCAGAAAAGCGGAAGCUCCCCUAAAGCCUCCCAUGCCCCUUCAUCUCUUCAGAAGUCACGUGGACCACGACUAAUAACCUGUGGACUGGCUUAGCUAUCAUAUCUCUAUCAUUUACACGUAUUUAUCUAUCUCUGUGUAUCUAACACCUUAUGUAAAGAGAGUAUGUAUCUGUUGGCGUCUUUUGCUCAAUAUGGUUUAUGUAAUUCAUAUUUUUGCAAAUAUCUAUAAUUCAUUUUCAUCACUGCGGAAUAGUCCAUUGUAUGAAUACGCCACCACUGAUCUAUUCUAAAGAAAGAAUA